AGCUGGAGACUUAGGGAGGAGACGUCUUGUUCUGGUCUGAGGGUCGUGGAGCUGCAGACCCAGGGAGGAGCAAUUUUGUUGUAGUUCGAGGGUCAGGAAGCUGGCGACCCAGGGAGGAGAGGUCUUGUUCUGGUCUGAGGGUCAUGGACCUGCAGACCCAGGGAGGAGCAGUCUUGUUCUAGUUUGAGGGUCGUGGAGCUGCAGACCCAGGGAGGAGCCAUGUUGGUUUGAAUGUUGUGGAUCUG
RNAcentral lists this long non-coding RNA (245 nucleotides) under Homo sapiens (human). RNAcentral's name for it is "HSALNT0401356". The record is from RNAcentral. Lineage: Eukaryota; Metazoa; Chordata; Mammalia; Primates; Hominidae.